MicroRNA precursor from Oryza rufipogon (brownbeard rice), 215 nucleotides. It matches the Rfam family "MIR812 microRNA precursor family". The record is from Rfam. Lineage: Eukaryota; Viridiplantae; Streptophyta; Magnoliopsida; Poales; Poaceae.
AAUAACCGUAGUUUUGCACUAUUCACGUUCAACAUUUGAUAUUUUACCGUUCGUCUUAUUUGAAAAUUUUUUAUGAUUAGUAUUUUUAUUGCUAUUAGAUAAUAAAACAUGAAUAGUACUUUAUGUGUGACUAAAUAUUUUCAAAUUUUUCACAAUUUUUUUAAAUAAGACGGACGGUCAAACGUUGGGCACGGAUGUCCACGACUGCACUUAUU